GAGCGUAGGGUGCAAGCGUUUGUCCGGAAGUUAUUGGGCGUAAAGAGCUCGUAGGUCGGUUUGUUGCGUCGGCUGAUCGAAAUCCCGAGGCUCAACCUCGGGUCUGCAGUCGAUAACGAGCAACUAGAGGUGUUGCAGGGAGACUGGAAUUCCUGGUGUAGCGGUGAAAUGCGCAGAUAUCAGGAGGAACACCGGUGGCGAAGGCGGGUCUCUGGGCAACAACUGACGCUGGAGGAGCGAAAGCGUGGGAGCGAACAGG
This 259-nucleotide ribosomal RNA is filed under the name uncultured bacterium. Its description in RNAcentral is "partial 16S ribosomal RNA". It matches the Rfam family "Bacterial small subunit ribosomal RNA", at positions 523 to 776 of the family's 1533-position model. The record is from RNAcentral.